RNAcentral lists this ribosomal RNA (490 nucleotides) under uncultured bacterium. RNAcentral describes it as "bacterial SSU rRNA". It matches the Rfam family "Bacterial small subunit ribosomal RNA", at positions 903 to 1397 of the family's 1533-position model. The record is from RNAcentral.
AAAUGAAUAGACGGGGGCCCGCACAAGCAGUGGAGUAUGUGGUUUAAUUCGACGCAACGCGAAGAACCUUACCAAAGCUUGACAUAAAUAGGAAUAACAUGGAAGCAUGUUAGUCGUAAGACCUAUUUACAGGUGAUGCAUGGUUGUCGUCAGCUCGUGUCGUGAGAUGUUGGGUUAAGUCCCGCAACGAGCGCAACCCUCGUGAUCAGUUGCCAGCAGUAAGAUGGGAACUCUGGUCAGACUGCCGUAGAUAAUACGGAGGAAGGAGAGGAUGACGUCAAAUCAUCACGUCCCUUAUGUUUUGGGCAACACACGUACUACAAUGGGUAUAACAGAAAGAAGCAAAGCAGCAAUGCCAAGCAAAACUAAAAAAAAUACCCUCAGUUCGGAUUGGAGGCUGCAACUCGCCUCCAUGAAGCCGGAAUUGCUAGUAAUCACAGGUCAGAAUACUGUGGUGAAUACGUUCCCGGGCCUUGUACACACCGCCCGU